CGUCGAAGGUGGGGCUGAUGACUGGGGUGAAGUCGUAACAAGGUAUCCGUACCGGAAGGUGCGGAUGGAUCACCUCCUAACAGGGAGACAACACAAUGAUUUUGAUGCCUGAGUACUUUUAUUCUUAGGCCGAAAUCCUGUCACCUUAGGUCGAUCGGUACCUCAGCUUUGAAGUCAAGGAUCAGCAGCAAUGUUGAUUGCUUGAUGGAGAUUUUCAGUUCCUAAACUUUGUCUAGGUCACACCCCAAAAGGGAUGAGACUCCUGGGCCAUUAGCUCAGGUGGUUAGAGCGCACCCCUGAUAAGGGUGAGGUCCCUGGUUCAAGUCCAGGAUGGCCCAUUCGGUGUUGGGGGUUUAGCUCAGUUGGUAGAGCGCCUGCUUUGCAAGCAGGAUGUCAGGAGUUCGAGUCUCCUAACCUCCACUGACCGAACUUGAUUCCCAUCUCCAAUUUUUUGGAGUUGAGCUCGAUUGGAGUGUGAUUUAGAUGUGUCCGCUGGAUGACCCCAGCUUCCUGUCAUUCCAAGUUUUAGGUUAAAGCCUUGAAUUUGGUUGAUAAGAUGCUGGGCUCGGAUCAAAUGAUCAAGCAAUUGAUGAUUUGAUUUGAAGUUCUAGCAGAACCUUGACAACUGCAUAGGUGAGUCUGGAAAAAACAAAGCAUCUUACAGAUGCAUUGUUUUGAAUCUGAUCUUCUGAAAAGGAGAUUGGAUCUAGAACAAUGAAAAUUCUUUUGAGCAAGAGCCGAGACUCUUGAGCGUUCUUUGAUUGGUGUCGAGCCAAUUAAAGUUUGAUCUUGUUUUUAGCAAUAAAAACUUGAGAAUCUGCUUUCAACGGCGGUAAGCGUUCAGGAGGUUAAUUGGUCAAGCUACAAAGGGCUCACGGC
RNAcentral lists this unclassified non-coding RNA (879 nucleotides) under uncultured Synechococcus sp. Its description in RNAcentral is "partial may contain 16S ribosomal RNA, 16S-23S ribosomal RNA intergenic spacer, and 23S ribosomal RNA". The stretch from base 348 to 420 matches the Rfam family "tRNA". Lineage: Bacteria; Bacillati; Cyanobacteriota; Cyanophyceae; Synechococcales; Synechococcaceae. The record is from RNAcentral.